GACGAACGCUGGCGGCGUGCUUAACACAUGCAAGUCGAACGGAAAGGCCCCUUUGGGGGUACUCGAGUGGCGCACGGGUGUGUAACACGUGAGUAACCUUCCCUUGACUUCGGGAUAACUUCAGGAAACUGGGGCUAAUACCGGCUAGGAAUCCUUGCUGCAUGGUGGGGGUUGGAAAGCUUCGGCGGUUUUGGAUGGACUCGCGGCUUAUCAGCUUGUUGGUGGGGUAGUGGCUUACCAAGGCUUUGACGGGUAGCCGGCCUGAGAGGGCGACCGGCCACAUUGGGACUGAGAUACGGCCCAGACUCCUACGGGAGGCAGCAGUGGGGAAGAUUGCACAAUGGGCGGAAGCCUGAUGCAGCAACGCCGCGGGCGGGAUGACGGCCUUCGGGUUGGAAACCGCUUUCAGCAGGGGCGAAGCUUGUGGUGACGGUACCUGCAGAAGAAGCACCGGCUAACUACGUG
This 465-nucleotide ribosomal RNA is filed under the name uncultured bacterium. Its description in RNAcentral is "partial 16S ribosomal RNA". It matches the Rfam family "Bacterial small subunit ribosomal RNA", at positions 28 to 507 of the family's 1533-position model. The record is from RNAcentral.